GACUGGUGUUCUAAAAAAUAUCACUUCACUACUUUUAUUUGUUAUUCAUUUUUAAAAAUAUUUUUUAUGUUAUAUUUAAUUAAUUAAAUAUUACAUAAAAAUAAAAAAUUUCUAACAUAUAUAUGCUAAUUAAUUUUUUUUAAAAAAAAUGUUUAUAUAGAUAAAUUAAAAAUAUUUCAAUAAAAAUAAUAUAUAAGAGCUCCCAAAUUACGACUCCUUUACAUGGCCACGCUUCCCCGCUCUCACUCCCGCUCCCGCUUCUGCUUCCGCUUCCACUUCGUGCAACUAAGCUAGGAUCAAACUUGGGUUUUUUUAUUUUUUAUUUUUUUGGUGGUUGUUGUUGUUGUAAUUUUCCCUAAUUUUAUUUGUUACUAACUGCAGUAUAUAUACUAUUUUGCUAUAUCAGAUUCCAAAUCUACCUCGAGCCAGUCUACUUUGGCUCUAUGCUACGACGGGAAUUAACAAGGAUUAUUGCUCAAGAGGGCUAAGGGAAGAAGUAACAAGAGGGGAGGUAGCCAAGGGUGCUGUAAGGGUAGAGGAGCUGCCAAGAGGUAUGAUAGAGAGAGAUGUAAAAGAUAUCAUUGAGCAGAAAGUCCAUGGGACUUGGAGCUUAUGGAUUCAAUUAUCCUUGAGCAGGGGUCUUGGAUAUUGAUGUUGGAUUAUGGAUGUUUUUGAUCUCACCAUUGUAUUCUCAAUUGGUCUCGGUGUGUGCUGAACCACAUUAAUAUUUGUGUUUCUCUUGUGUGCGCGUGCAUGUGUAUUUAUGUAUUUAUUUAAAGCAUUCUUCCA
Camellia sinensis is the source of this 789-nucleotide non-coding RNA. Lineage: Eukaryota; Viridiplantae; Streptophyta; Magnoliopsida; Ericales; Theaceae. The record is from RefSeq and is a predicted model, not a curated record.